AGCCAAGGAGGUGGGUCUCAUACAAAGACCAUGAGGGCCCCGGGCCCAGCAUGAUGGGAUGGUGGGCCUGGCACCCAGUCCCAAAAGCCUUGCUCCCUUCCUUUCUCCUGGAUAACCCACCUCUGCCUGCCACAGACACCCAGAACCCUGCUGCCUCCAUCUUGCUACUCAUGCAGUGAGAUGAGAGGCCUGAGCUCCAAUCCCACCCCUGCCAUUUCUCCAGCCAUCCGCUCUUGGGCAAGUGACUUCACCUCCCUGGGCCUCAGUCUCCAUUUGUGAAUGGGGCCAUAAUUCCCACCUCUCAGGGGUGUGGGGAGAGUCAAGUGACAUAAUGACCCAGGUCAACAGGGUCAAGUUCAAACUCAGUGUGUGAACCGGCUGGCACCUGCUUAGCUUUCUAGCCCCACACCCUCUCACUCUUGGGUGACCCCUUUCCCUGGCCACGUCCACCUGCUUGGAGGUCCUUGAACUU
Molecule: long non-coding RNA, 472 nt
Filed under: Pongo abelii (Sumatran orangutan)
Lineage: Eukaryota; Metazoa; Chordata; Mammalia; Primates; Hominidae
Description: lincRNA
Source: RNAcentral